This 432-nucleotide ribosomal RNA is filed under the name uncultured bacterium. RNAcentral describes it as "partial 16S ribosomal RNA". It matches the Rfam family "Bacterial small subunit ribosomal RNA", at positions 29 to 507 of the family's 1533-position model. The record is from RNAcentral.
AACGAACGCUGGCGGCAGGCCUAACACAUGCAAGUCGAGCGAGGACUUCGGUCCUAGCGGCGGACGGGUGAGUAACGCGUGGGAACGUGCCCUUUGCUUCGGAAUAGCCCUGGGAAACUGGGAGUAAUACCGGAUGAGCCCUUUGGGGGAAAGAUUUAUCGGCGAAGGAUCGGCCCGCGUUGGAUUAGGUAGUUGGUGGGGUAAUGGCCUACCAAGCCGACGAUCCAUAGCUGGUUUGAGAGGAUGAUCAGCCACACUGGGACUGAGACACGGCCCAGACUCCAACGGGGGGGGGGGGGGGGGAAUCUAAGAAAGGGGGGGAAACCCUGAAACGCCCCGGCCGGGGGGGCGAUGAAGGGCUUGGGGUUGGAAAGCUCUUUCGACGGGGAGGGAAAGAAGGGUACCAGCAAAAAAGCCCCGGCUAACCCCGUG